RNAcentral lists this ribosomal RNA (197 nucleotides) under uncultured bacterium. RNAcentral describes it as "partial 16S ribosomal RNA". It matches the Rfam family "Bacterial small subunit ribosomal RNA", at positions 1303 to 1500 of the family's 1533-position model. The record is from RNAcentral.
GGCUGAAAUUCGCCUUCAUGAAGUCGGAAUUGCUAGUAAUGGCAGGUCAGCAUACUGCCGUGAAUACGUUCCCGGGCCUUGUACACACCGCCCGUCACACCAUGAGAGUUGGAGAUACCCGAAGCCUAUGAGCUAACUUUUAGAGGCAGUAGUCGAAGGUAGAAUCAAUGAUUGGGGUGAAGUCGUAACAAGGUACC